Long non-coding RNA from Pollicipes pollicipes, 1724 nucleotides. RefSeq lists it as uncharacterized. The transcript has 3 exons. Lineage: Eukaryota; Metazoa; Arthropoda; Thecostraca; Pollicipedomorpha; Pollicipedidae. The record is from RefSeq and is a predicted model, not a curated record.
GCGUCCGAGCAAGAAGAACAGUGAGAGGGUGACGGCCGGCGACGGGGCAGGGAGCCUGCACACGUGGCGGUGUAACCCCGGUGAUGUCGGCAACAACGUCCUCGUUAGCCUCAAGCCUGGUGGUGGAGGAGGAGACCAUCUGCAUGGAUGGCAAUGCGCCGACUUCUCCUCUAUGUCGGGCUUCGAACUGGAUCACACACAGACGUCUCACAUCAGGGUGCAAUCUUCGUCGGGUAGCAGAUGUCCGACGAACUACGUGGUUACGGACGUGCAGGACGAUCGAGACAACGCACAUAGCGUCGACCAAGCCAUCUGCGUCCUCGUGGCGGGUGGCUACGAAGUCGACUGCAGCCAGGCCGUCACGAUCGCCAUGCAAAAGAACAACGUAGCCACAUGCCCAGACUUCCACGCCGUCGUCAGCGCGGCCCGCCCGCGCUCGUGGGAAACCAUGCACUGCUGUGAAGUGAAGCGACCAUAAUGACCCUUUUUCGCCACGCAUUGAUGACUUGUGUUUUGAUGCCUUCCGUGGUAGGUCUGACUUCGGGUACGUCGAUGGCCUUUUGGGCUUUCUCUACGAAAAGAUGAUAUCAUACUAGCGAUUAAACGUCUUUCGACGACUUUUCUUUGCAUUUCAAAUGAACAGAGUCGUCCGCAUACUCUUGUAAGGUAAGAUUACCUCACAAGAAUAUGUGCGACAACCUCACUUUAGCUCUUACGUUAAACCCGUUCAAACGAAAGGUCCUGAUCGUAGCGGCAGGUCACGUCCCAACAGCGGGUGGACAUCUGACAUACGCGCGGCGACGGAAAGAGACGUGCUCACGAUGGUAAGAGUCGCGCUCACCCCCGCUCUCAGUGCUCCAUUGUACGACAUGAUCGUUUUUGGAGAUAGUGUAGAUCUCAGUGCAACGAAAACGAAGGGCACAAUACGACUGCUGGUUAAUUUUCUUCAGAUUGGAAAGAAGUAGUGUGCUCCUUUAAGAGUGCAAAAGUAAGGCUAGAUAUAUGAUAACUUGGUCUGCAGAUUUAGGUUAUUGUGGGCACAUUGCGGACUCAUGCGAGGAGGGGCAGCAAAUUGUCAUGGUAUAAUUCCAACAUUUUUAUGAGCCAAUUCUAAAUAAGUGAAUAAGGUGUGUGCGGAGGCAGUCGGGUGUUAGGCAUCUCACACGUAAAUGAUCUGCUGAUUUUGCGUUCUGAAAACGUGAACUCUGGAGGCCCGGCGUGUGGACCAUGAUGUCAUGAUCAUCAAAAAUACUUGCAAUCAGUCAAUCAGCACUUUAUUCUUCUGAAAUGUAUCCUAUUUCUCUGCCGCUGCCCGCAUGUCACGUGUUCAGUAGUUAUUGAAUAUUCCAUACGGUCGAGUGAAUACCCACGAACUGUCACCGCUUCUGAGGUAAUUCUUCAAUGAUUAAGUUUUUUAGGUUUUACCAUGACUAUUUUGUGUUUUUAACGCGUUAGUUUUGAGAAGUUGACAAUAUAUAGUGUUCAUUAACCAAGCAUGUUGAGUGUGUUUUAUGCGUUCCCGACUGUUGCCGAUGUCUUUAUUAGGGCUGCUUUUAUUAGGACAGCACCUGUAAGUGGUAGGUCAAGCAAUAUAUCCCCUGAGCCCAGAGCCAAAAGUAAACUUAGGUGAACAAAACUGUUAAAACGCAAUCUCAAAAACUUGUGUGUCGUGUAGUUGAGGUAAAAAAAUCGUUUGAAUUUAGUAAGAUUUAGACAUGUUUUAU